Molecule: long non-coding RNA, 1128 nt
Filed under: Felis catus (domestic cat)
Lineage: Eukaryota; Metazoa; Chordata; Mammalia; Carnivora; Felidae
Description: lncRNA (ENSFCAG00000003713.6)
Source: RNAcentral
AUGUCUCUCAACCUCCCCGGUGAAAGGAAAGGUGUAAACAAGUAUUACCCUCCGGAUUUCAAUCCCGAAAAGCAUGGCUCUCUCAACCGAUACCACAACAGCCACCCGCUACGGGAGCGGGCUCGGAAGCUGUCCCAAGGCAUCCUCAUUAUCAGGUUUGAGAUGCCCUAUAACAUCUGGUGCGACGGCUGCAAGAACCACAUCGGCAUGGGUGUUCGUUACAAUGCAGAAAAGAAGAAGGUUGGCAAUUAUUACACAACGCCCAUCUACAGGUUCCGGAUGAAAUGCCACCUGUGCGUCAACUACAUCGAGAUGCAGACGGACCCCGCCAACUGCGACUACGUGAUUGUGAGUGGCGCCCAGCGCAAGGAGGAGCGCUGGGACAUGGAGGACAACGAGCAGGUGCUGACGACAGAGCAUGAGAAGAAGCAGAAGCUGGAGACGGACGCCAUGUUUCGCCUGGAGCACGGCGAGGCCGACCGGAGCACGCUCAAGAAGGCCCUCCCCACCCUGAGCCACAUCCAGGAGGCCCAGAGCGCCUGGAAGGAUGACUUCGCUCUCAACAGCAUGCUGCGGAAAAGGUUCCGGGAGAAGAAAAAAGCCAUGCAGGAGGAGGAGGAGAGGGACCAGGCGUUGCAGACGGAGGACGACCGCAAGCUGGCCGCCCUGCUCAAGUUCCACACCCUGGACUCCUACGAGGACAAGCAGAAACUCAAGCGGACGGAGAUCAUCAGCCGCCCCUGGUUCUCCUCCACCCCGGGGACCCCGCACCGGCAAACCGCAGAUGCGACCCGUCGGCUCCCCCAUCACCGUAGAGACCUGGGCAUCGUGCGGCGGCGGUCCCGAGAGGCCUUGGAGAACCUCCGGCUCGCCGCGGAGACCCCCAAGCCUGGGGAGCCAUGGGUGCCAGAGGGGAACACCCAGGACAGGCCCGCAUCCCCCCCAGACGGCUCUCCGGAGACAGCCGAGACCCCCAGGAGCAGGGGACCUCCGGGGCAGGCGGGGAAACGUCAGGACAGACCCCGGUCCCCACCAGGCCCCUCUCAGGAGGCAGCCGCCUCCCAGGACACACCACACCCGGGCACCCUCAGCUCCUCCUGGUGGCCGAUUACUCGACUCAGAGAGUGA